This 468-nucleotide ribosomal RNA is filed under the name uncultured bacterium. RNAcentral describes it as "partial 16S ribosomal RNA". It matches the Rfam family "Bacterial small subunit ribosomal RNA", at positions 28 to 507 of the family's 1533-position model. The record is from RNAcentral.
GACGAACGCUGGCGGCGUGCUUAACACAUGCAAGUCGAACGGAAAGGCCCUGCUUUUGUGGGGUGCUCGAGUGGCGAACGGGUGAGUAACACGUGAGUAACCUGCCCUUGACUUUGGGAUAACUUCAGGAAACUGGGGCUAAUACCGGAUAGGAGCUCCUGCUGCAUGGUGGGGGUUGGAAAGUUUCGGUGGUUGGGGAUGGACUCGCGGCUUAUCAGCUUGUUGGUGGGGUAGUGGCUUACCAAGGCUUUGACGGGUAGCCGGCCUGAGAGGGUGACCGGCCACAUUGGGACUGAGAUACGGCCCAGACUCCUACGGGAGGCAGCGGUGGGGAAUAUUGCACAAUGGGCGGAAGCCUGAUGCAGCAACGCCGCGUGCGGGAUGACGGCCUUCGGGUUGUAAACCGCUUUCGCCUGUGACGAAGCGUGAGUGACGGUAAUGAGUAAAGAAGCACCGGCUAACUACGUG